AUUGUUCCGUAGUGAACCUGCGGAAGGAUCAUUGAAUCUAUCAAUAACCACACCGUGCACUCUUUUUGUCUGGCCCAUCAUUCUCUCUGGAGUUUGGUGCUUCCCGGGUAGCAUUAACUUGCUGCUUGGGUUUGGGCUCGGCUGCCCAUUCAUUUGGGUGGUCGGGGUGGUCUUUUCUAACCAACAACACCAAAUCAAAACUAAAGGCAAAGAUAUGUGCUCGGGCUAGCCGUCACAUACCAACUGAGACACUCUCAACACGUAUACUUGCUCUCGCAACGUGAGACGCAGCGAAUGCGUACGUAGUGUGAUUGCAGAUUCGUGAUCAUCAAUCUUUGACGUAAUUGCGCAAGCAUCGCUGAGAUGUUGCUCACGCGUAUCUCACUCCCUCCUCCAUAGUGAAGCGGUAAGUGGACCUGGCUGUCAGAGCUUAGUGCUCAUGCGCUUAGCAAAAGCUCUGGAUCAGCUGAAGAGUAGAGGCUAGCUCAAGGCCCGUCAAGGCCGCAACUGGUAGGCAGCUCACGCUUGCUAUUCUAGUUGUUGGCUUGGGACCAUGAGCUCGGCCCUCAAGACAGGAACCUCUUUUUUUCUCGACCUGAGCCAAAAGAAAGACCACCCGCUGAACUUAAGCAUAUA
Molecule: ribosomal RNA, 636 nt
Filed under: Dunaliella salina
Lineage: Eukaryota; Viridiplantae; Chlorophyta; Chlorophyceae; Chlamydomonadales; Dunaliellaceae
Description: eukaryotic LSU rRNA
Source: RNAcentral